This 23-nucleotide non-coding RNA is filed under the name Arabidopsis thaliana (thale cress). The record is from RNAcentral. Lineage: Eukaryota; Viridiplantae; Streptophyta; Magnoliopsida; Brassicales; Brassicaceae.
AUUGGCAUGUUGUGGCGUAUCUA